ACGCUCGACACCUACGGGAGGAGCAGUGGGGAAUAUUGCACAAUGGGGGAAACCCUGAUGCAGCAACGCCGCGUGAAGGAAGGCGGUUUUCGGAUUGUAAACUUCUGUUCUUAGUGAAGAUAGUGACGGUAGCUAAGGAGCAAGCCACGGCUAACUACGUGCAAGCAGCCGCGGUAAUCUGAGCGGGCUGGCAAGGC
RNAcentral lists this ribosomal RNA (197 nucleotides) under uncultured bacterium. RNAcentral describes it as "partial 16S ribosomal RNA". It matches the Rfam family "Bacterial small subunit ribosomal RNA", at positions 328 to 539 of the family's 1533-position model. The record is from RNAcentral.